Molecule: long non-coding RNA, 2498 nt
Organism: Harpia harpyja (harpy eagle)
Lineage: Eukaryota; Metazoa; Chordata; Aves; Accipitriformes; Accipitridae
Exons: 4
Source: RefSeq, a predicted model, not a curated record
UCUGCUCUCUGGAGUCUCAUCGCAAACUUUACAGUGACCCACAAACAUUGGUCAGGCCGGCAGCUGGGACUGCUUGUGCUAGGUGUCAAGGCUGGAGAAAACAGGAGAUUGUGACAGAGGAGGUGCUACACGGGGAGAACAAGCUUGGCAUGAGAGUUGUAACCACCGGUCUCCCCUGUCGCUGACCCUGGCUGGGGUGUGCCAGCCUGCUGCAAGGGACUGGAAAGGUACUUGUCCCUCCCACAGACCAGGUUCCUCUCUUUUGCCCUGAAUAUCCUCUGGCAUACUAAUGACAAGCCUCAGUACCUACUGCCACAUUUGAAGUGCUAAGGAAAUAUGAUGUACACAGUGUAGCUGUAGGAAACUGAGAAACCUUCUUAUAGGAGGAUGGCUAAGAAAAGGUGGGAUACACCAGGAAAGAUACAGGUAGGGUUGGUGCUGCCUUGGGAGGGCUACAUGACCCCUCAAAGCCCUUCCCAACCUAUUCCCUGUAAUUCUGCCUUUAGUCUUUUAUGUCUGUUAUAAUUCUGUGGGGUUUAUAACCCAUUUUUGUGUAUUCAUUGCAUUCCUCAGGAGGUGAAAUGAAUGAUGGAUACAUUAUUUUUUAAACUGCAAAAGUAGUUAAUGUGGAAAAGCCCUAAACAGGCCAGGAAUCUAGCACUUCAGGAAAGUCUAGGUUUAAGUUUGAAGAUAAAUUGUCUGCUGGGGUGAAAUCAGAGUCUUGGCUGGAAAUAUUUUUCCUCACCUCUUGACUUUGAGGGAAAUGCAAAGUCAGCUCUGAGUCAAACUUUGUGGCUUUGGUCCUCUGGAAUAAAAGCAGCUUUGAGUCACUCAAGAUGUGCUGCAAAUCACACUUUAGUCUCUGCAUUGAGGACUGCUGUUAAAAAAACAUUACAGAUAAAACCAUUUUUGUCUGCAGCCCGCUGUGCCCCGCACUCAAGCUAAUGACCGUAACAACCUUUUCUGAUCUCAGUAAGUGGUUUAGGACUUUUGACCUGCUUUGGAAUAGGAGCUGGAAGCUGGACUCUGCAAUUGCUUAAUGAAGACUGGACUAGAGCAAGAGAGAUUAGUCACAGGGCAAACAAUUCCAGUUCUGCAACAAGAGACAGCGAAUAGAAAAUGCAAAGACAACGCAUUCCUUGAACCUUGUAGGACUAGGCUGCAUUGAACAGGUAGUGACACACAGCAAGUGACAAAGCCGCCUCUUCUUGGCACCACAGAGUCCCCAAACUCUGAUCUCAAGAACAUGUCCAUGAGGAUUACUUGCGCAAAUGUGCUCAUUACUAGACUCCAACUCCAUUUAACAGAUACUGUUAUCUCUCUGACAAAGCCUGGUAUUUGAAGCUCACAAGCAAAUGUGGCAGCAGUAAAACCACAGGCUUUGUUCUGCUUCUUGUAUUUCCCAGUUGGAAAGAGCACAAACCUGGCAACUGAAGUCCUGCAAAACAGGCAAAAUACCUGUAGUCUAGUAAGCUCCACUGUAUGUGUAUGUGCAGUGGAUAUACAUAGGUUUACUUCUAUAUAUAUAGUAUAUAUGCAUAGACAUGCAUACACAUACGUAAGAUUCAUGUUUUUCUACACGAUGUCUUCCUGUUAGGUUCAGAGAGAGCCCCACUGGUAUCAGAGGGAACACACACAUUGACUUAGAUAUAGGAGUUAACAUUGGGUCCUCCGUUAAGACUAAAUAGUUUUUCUUAGCAUCACGUAUAGCUAACAGCCUCUGGCCCUCUGACCCACACUCUUCCCAGGAAGCUGGUGCUGGGUCAGGCUGAUUCACUCUCAUGCUUCCUUGCUGUGUUUGUUCUAUCAUCUCCUUGAUCUGUGCUGCUGUGGCACUGUGUAGGACAUGCAUCUGAAAUAAGGACCAUGGUAGACUCUGAAAUGGGCUGUUCCUUUGGCCCUGAGCCCUCUCGGUAUGAACAGCCCUUUCUCUGCUCCCUCAGAGAACAUCUUUCUUUCUUUCUGUUUCCAAAUAAAAUGUCUGAGGAAUGACUCCUGACUCAGCAAAGGCCAAUGAUGCAAACUGUGAGCAAUGAAAAGGUGUUUUCUAAAGCUGUAAAAGUGCAGCCUGCAAGAGUGAGGAGAGCAAAGAGGGGUUAAUUAAAACAUUCAUGUGCCCAUUACCUGUGGGAUUGCCUUUAUGAGAUACACAAGCAAAUAGAAAGUACAUGGUAUUUCCAGAAAGCAUUCUGUUGAUCCUCUUUUAGACACAGAUAUACAUUGCUUGGAAGUGAGGAGCUGUGGUGCCAAGCACACAGAAAAGGGCAUGAUACCAUCAAUCAGCUGAGCAGUAGUGCUCUGCUGCUGCUAGGAACAGUCUCUUGGCUUCUCUUGAGCUGCCAGCCGCUGCUCCUGCAUAAGGCAGCACCUUCUCCUUGGGAGUAGCUGCUUCUCCUGCUCUCCCUGAGCUGUGAGAUCAAAGUGGGGGUCUAAGCCUGGAUCCAGUGUGGUAUCGAGAAGCAAGGUUUUCCCCAUUGGAAGGGUCCCUGAAUCCUUAC